UACGAAGGGGGCUAGCGUUGCUCGGAAUCACUGGGCGUAAAGCGCACGUAGGCGGCUUUUUAAGUCAGGGGUGAAAUCCUGGAGCUCAACUCCAGAACUGCCUUUGAUACUGAGAGGCUUGAGUCCGGGAGAGGUGAGUGGAACUGCGAGUGUAGAGGUUAAAUUCGUAGAUAUUCGCAAGAACACCAGUGGCGAAGGCGGCUCACUGGCCCGGUACUGACGCUGAGGUGCGAAAGCGUGGGGAGCAAACAGG
Molecule: ribosomal RNA, 253 nt
Filed under: uncultured bacterium
Lineage: Bacteria
Description: partial 16S ribosomal RNA
Rfam family: Bacterial small subunit ribosomal RNA
Source: RNAcentral